UACGUAGGGGGCAAGCGUUAUCCGGAUUUACUGGGUGUAAAGGGAGCGCAGACGGCAGUGCAAGUCUGGAGUGAAAGCCCGGGGCCCAACCCCGGGACUGCUCUGGAAACUGUACGGCUAGAGUACGGGAGGGGCAGGCGGAAUUCCUAGUGUAGCGGUGAAAUGCGUAGAUAUUAGGAGGAACACCGGCGGCGAAGGCGGCCUGCUGGACCGAAACUGACGCUGAGGCUCGAAAGCGUGGGGAGCAAACAGG
RNAcentral lists this ribosomal RNA (253 nucleotides) under uncultured bacterium. RNAcentral's name for it is "partial 16S ribosomal RNA". It matches the Rfam family "Bacterial small subunit ribosomal RNA", at positions 524 to 776 of the family's 1533-position model. The record is from RNAcentral.